This 253-nucleotide ribosomal RNA is filed under the name uncultured prokaryote. RNAcentral's name for it is "partial 16S ribosomal RNA". It matches the Rfam family "Bacterial small subunit ribosomal RNA", at positions 525 to 777 of the family's 1533-position model. The record is from RNAcentral.
ACGGAGGGGGCUAGCGUUGUUCGGAAUUACUGGGCGUAAAGCGCGCGCAGGCGGCUAUCCAAGUCAGUGGUGAAAGCCCGGAGCUCAACUCCGGAACUGCCAUUGAAACUGUUGGACUUGAGGACGAGAGAGGUGAGUGGAAUUCCCAGUGUAGAGGUGAAAUUCGUAGAUAUUGGGAAGAACACCGGUGGCGAAGGCGGCUCACUGGCUCGUUUCUGACGCUCAGGCGCGACAGCGUGGGGAGCAAACAGGA